GUGGGGAAUAUUGGACAAUGGGGGCAACCCUGAUCCAGCAAUGCCGCGUGUGUGAAGAAGGCCUGAGGGUUGUAAAGCACUUUCAGUGGGGAGGAGGGUUAUUCGGUUAAGAGCUAGAUAAUUGGACGUUACCCACAGAAGAAGCACCGGCUAACUCCGUGCCAGCAGCCGCGGUAAUACGGAGGGUGCAAGCGUUAAUCGGAAGUAUUGGGCGUAAAGGGUGCGUAGGUGGUUAGAUAAGUUAUCUGUGAAAUCCCCGGGCUCAACCUGGGAAGGUCAGAUAAGACUGUUUGACUCGAGUAUAGGAGAGGGUAGUGGAAUUUCCGGUGUAGCGGUGAAAUGCGUAGAGAUCGGAAGGAACACCAGUGGCGAAGGCGGCUACCUGGCCUGAUACUGACACUGAAGCACGAAAGCGUGGGGAGCAAACAGGAUUAGAAACCCGGGUAGUCC
RNAcentral lists this ribosomal RNA (450 nucleotides) under uncultured bacterium. Its description in RNAcentral is "bacterial SSU rRNA". It matches the Rfam family "Bacterial small subunit ribosomal RNA", at positions 354 to 796 of the family's 1533-position model. The record is from RNAcentral.